RNAcentral lists this ribosomal RNA (200 nucleotides) under uncultured bacterium. Its description in RNAcentral is "partial 16S ribosomal RNA". It matches the Rfam family "Bacterial small subunit ribosomal RNA", at positions 8 to 199 of the family's 1533-position model. The record is from RNAcentral.
AGAGUUUGAUCCUGGCUCAGGGUUAACGCUGGCGGCGUGCCUAACACAUGCAAGUCGAGCGGGGGCUCGGCGCCCGCAAGGGUGUCGGGUACCUAGCGGCGAACGGGUGAGUAACACGUGGGCAACCUGUCCUCUCGUGGGGGAUAACACCGAGAAAUCGGUGCUAAUACCGCAUGACAUCGUCGGGGGCAUCUUCGGCG